RNAcentral lists this long non-coding RNA (477 nucleotides) under Notechis scutatus (mainland tiger snake). RNAcentral's name for it is "lncRNA (ENSNSUG00000010029.1)". The record is from RNAcentral. Lineage: Eukaryota; Metazoa; Chordata; Lepidosauria; Squamata; Elapidae.
CUUCAAAGGAGAAGGUUCAUUUUAGAAGUCAAAAUACUCAAGCAUGGUUUUUGAAGAACAGUAAUUCCUGAGAGACCAUAAUUUUCAAAUCAAAAUUUGAAAGAAGAUUAAUCUCACUCAACAUGGAUCCCUUUGGUCUGGUCCCCAUCCUAACUUUGCUUCAUAUUGUGCUCCAAGUAUCCUCGUCUGCAGCGGCCCCACCAGCUCCAUCUCUGAAUUACAUUAUUUUUGACCGUGGAAACUCUGUCAGCCUAGAAUGCUUAUCUCCACCAGAAGCUAAUAAAAUCGGGCAGUUUCGCUUUGUUACAGAUGAAAUGGUUGUCUCAAUCCUGGCUACCGUCAACAGCACCUACACAUACAAUCUAACUAAUGUGAAACACAAGAACGUGGGGAUUGUCAGAUGUGCUUAUGUUCAAUACCUCCAUGGAAGAAAGGUACUUUCCAGGAUCAGCGAUCCAAUUUUCAUCGACAUGCGAG